This 377-nucleotide long non-coding RNA is filed under the name Homo sapiens (human). Its description in RNAcentral is "HSALNT0204622". The record is from RNAcentral. Lineage: Eukaryota; Metazoa; Chordata; Mammalia; Primates; Hominidae.
GCGCAGCCCUGGUUCCCGCCCGUGCCUCUUCCUCCACACUUUCCCGCAAGCUGAGGGAGCCGGCUCCCGCCUUGGCCAGCCCGGAAAGGGGCUCCCACGGUGCAGCGGUGGGCUGAAGGGCUCCUCAAGCACGGCCAGAGUGGGCGCCAAGGCCGAGGAGGCCCCGAGAGCGAGCGAGGGCUGCCAGUAUGCUGUCACCUCUCAUUAUUAUUUGCCGAUGGGAGUGGAGAAGGAGACUUGGUGAUAACAGGACUGAAAACCUUGUGUAGGUAUGGUUCUAGUUCCAUUCAUAUCAGAAGAGAUACAACCUUAUACCUCUCCACAGAAUCCACGAAGAGUGAAAAAGAAACCAGCAAAUGCAGAAAAGAAGACUAAUG